This is a long non-coding RNA of Anopheles gambiae (African malaria mosquito), 855 nucleotides long. RefSeq lists it as uncharacterized. The record is from RefSeq and is a predicted model, not a curated record. The transcript has 2 exons. NCBI's taxonomy places the organism in Eukaryota, Metazoa, Arthropoda, Insecta, Diptera, Culicidae.
ACGGGUUUUUUCCCAACCUCAAAAUCUUGUCCAUACGGGCCUCGAAAUGAUCACGACCCUAUGUUGACCGAUGUCUUCUUUUAUUUGGCAUAACCACCUACACAAUCAUGCCGGCUUCCAUAGGAUUUCGACACUUAUUAGUACUUCGCAGCACGUUAGUCACUCCUUGCUACGAAAGAAUGGUCAAGCCACAUGAGGCUUGAACCCAUGACGGGCAUUUUAUUAAGUCGUAUGAGUAGACUAACCACGGGAUAUUCUCGAUGUUGACGAAUGCAUACAUGCGCAUUAUAGGUAGAAUAUAGUCAAGCCUACCAUACCAUGUCCCUUAAAUUAAUAACAAAACAUCAAAUGAGGUAAUACUUCCACACGAAUGUUAACCUACUUUUUUGUUGCUACAACCUUGUUCGGUAAACACUGUACUCGAACACGAACAACCAGGUCAUGUAAUCGCUAUUUAUCGUAGGUAUGGUGUCGCUAUAUUUUGGACCAGUGUAUCAACCAUGAAUCAAUAUAAAAUAAGAAUCGCUGUUCAGAAACACGCUACACUGUUUUCAAAGAUCAGACGGGCAAAAUGAAACUACUAUUCCACAUUCUUCUCGUCGUGCUCAUCGUAGCAACAUGCUUCAUAUGUGAGGCUGUAUCUGCUCCCAGCGAUACCGUAAAGCGUGAAGCUGCCCCCGAUACAUGCAGAUUUAUUCAUGGAAUGAUGUAUUGUACUACAGGUUUCUUUGGGUUGGGAUAAAUGGUUGUUAAUUCAAAAACAUUUUUGCCCGAAUUCAAGAUUACCCUGAUUAUUUGAACAAUGGUUGGAGAAAAUAAAUAAAUGAAUAUUUUAUAAAUCGUCUUAUAAACUUA